This 462-nucleotide ribosomal RNA is filed under the name Triticum aestivum (bread wheat). Its description in RNAcentral is "partial small subunit ribosomal RNA". Lineage: Eukaryota; Viridiplantae; Streptophyta; Magnoliopsida; Poales; Poaceae. The record is from RNAcentral.
AUGCCGCUAUGCGCAACUUCAGAAGGACGAGCUCGAGCGCCAGUGCACGGAGAUGUUGGCCCAAGGCAUCAUCCGCCCGAGCGACUCGGCCUUCUCUUCACCCGUCCUCCUCGUCAAGAAACGGGAUGGCUCGUGGCGCUUUUGCGUCGACUAUCGGGUGUUGAACGAUCAUAUCAUGAAGGAAAGUUUCUAAUUCCUGUUGUUGACGAGCUACUGGAUGAACUCCGGGGCGCUAGGUUCUUCACCAAGCUUGACCAGCGCUCGGGGUAUCAUCAGGUACGGGUGCACCCUGAUGAUGUUGCUAAGACGGCGUUUCGCACACAUGAUGGCCACUAUGAGUUCUUGGUUAUGCCAUUUGGCUUAACCAACGCACCAGCAACCUUCCAGGCUUUGAUGAAUGACAUCUUGCUCCCUUUUUUGCGCAAAUUUGUCCUUGUUUUCUUUGAUGACAUCUUAAUCUAA